UGAGCUAGUGAAGUGCAUCAAGGAGGAGGAUGAUACAGUAUUGGUUGAGGAUGUCCUCAUUAGGAAGAGGUGGCAGUCCUAUUUUCAUAAACUUUUGAACGAUGAGGGGAACAAAGGUUUCGUGCUGGGGGACUUGGAGAAUUCUGAGAGGUGUCGCGAUAAUGGUUAUUGUAGGCGUACCAAGGUUGAGGAGGUCAAGGGGGGCUAUUCGCAGGAUGCGUAGGGGGAGGGUGACUGAGCCAGACAAGAUUCCGGUGGAUUUUUGGAAGAGCACUGGCGGGAAAGGUUUGGAGUGGUUGAUAAGGUCGCGUUUAACAUCAUUUUCUGGGCGGCGAAGGUGUCCAAGUGUGGAGGUGGAGUACAAUGAUUCCAUUAUAUAAUAACAAGGGGGACAUCCAGAGUUGCAACAACUAUAGGGGUAUCAAGUUGUUGAGUCCUACUAUAAAGAUUUGAGAAAGGGUGGUAGAGUUGAGGCUGAUGAGGGUUGUGACUGUCUCUGAGAAUCAGUUCGGUUUCAUGUCAGGUCGCUCGACUACUGAGGCCAUUCACCUUAUGAGAAGAUUAGUGGAGCAGUUUCGGGAGAGGAAGAAGGACUUGCACAUGGUGUUCAUUGAUCUUGAGAAGCAUAUGACAGAGUUCCCAGGGAGAUUUUAUGGAGGUGCUUGGAGGCUAGAGGGGUGCCUGUGGCGGACACUAGGUCGAUUCAGGUAAUGUAUGAUGGCGCGAAGACUCGCGUGAGAAUGGUAGGUGGAGAUUCGGAGCACUUUCCGAUUUUGAUAGGGUUGCACUACGGAUCGACUCUUAGCCCAUUUUUAUUUUCUUUGGUGAUGGAUGUUUUGACGCGACGUAUUCAAAGGGAGGUGCCUUGGUGUAUGUUAUUUGCUGAUGAUGUGGUUUUGAUUGACGAGACUCGGGGAGAAGUUAAUGAUAAGUUGGAGAUUUGGAGAUAGACCCUUGAAUCUAAAGGAUUUCGGUUGAGCAGGACCAAGACGGAGUAAUUGGAAUGUAAGUUUAGUGAUGUUUCGCAGGAGGUUGACAUGGUAGUGAAACUAGAUUCUCAGGCUAUUCAGAAAAGGGAGAGUUUCAAGUAUCUGGGGUCGAUGAUUCAAGGGAUUGGUGAGAUUGACAAGGAUGUCACACUCCAUAUUGGUGCAAGGUGGUUGAAAUAGAGACUUGCUUCGGGAGUUUUAUGUGAUAAGAAGGUGCCUCCAAAGCUGAAAGGUAAGUUCUACAGAGUGACAGUCAGACUGGCUCUAUUGUAUGGAGUGGAGUGUUGGCCAGUUAAGAACUUCCGCAUUCAAAUGUUAAAGGUGGCGGAGAUGAGGAUGUUGCGAUGGAUGCGUCCCCUUAUCGGGAAAGAUAGGGUGAGGAAUGAGAUUAUUCGGGAGAAGGCGAGAGUGACUUCGGUAGAGGACAAGAUAAGAGACGUGUGGUUACGUUAGUUCGGGCACGUGAUGAGGAGGGACUUGGAUGCUCCAAUACGGAGAUGUGAGACAUUGGCUAUAGAUGGUUUUAGGCGGGGUAAAGAUACUGGAGGGAGGUGAUUAGGCAUGAUAUGGAGCAGUUACAGCUUACGGAGGACAUGACCCUUGAUAGGAAGGUGUAGAAAACGCGGAUUAGGGUAGAGGUUUAGGGGGUGCGAUUGUGUUGGUAGUAGUAGGGGAGAGUACUUUGUUUGUGUCUGGAAUUUCUUGUUCGUGGUGUUUGAGUGACGUCUAUGAUUUCGAAUAGAUAAUUUAUAGUAUUAUCUUAUGGUUGAAGGGGAGCCUUGGAGUAACCGGUAAAGUUGCUGUCAUGUGAUCAGGAGGUCACGGGUUCAAGCCUUGGAAACAGCCUCUGGCAGAAAUGUAAGGUAAGACUGUGUGCGAUACACCCUUGUGGUGGGGCCCUUCCCUGGACACUGCACUAGUUAGUGCACCGGGCUGCCCCAUUUUAGUAUUAUCUUAUUGUUGUAUUGUUUCCUGUAUUAGCUAGUAGUGUUAGUUUAUUUUGUAUAUUGCAUUAGUUUAUAUGCAUUUAUGUUUUGUGUUUGUUAUACUGUUGUCGGUCCUGAGUCGGGGGUCUAUCGGAAACAGUCUCUCUAUUUCACCUAAGGUAGUGGUAUGGUCUGCGUAUACUCUACCCUCUCUACCCUCCCCAGACCCCUCUAUGUGGGAAUACACUAAGUAUGUUGUUGUUGUAGCUACCAAACAUUGUAUAACUUAUACAAAAAUUAAUACAUGAAUAAGUUGCUGCUCUACUAGCUACCAAACGACCCUAGAAUGUUUAUUAUUGUUGUUGUGAAUUAAAUAUGAGAUAAAAUGAUCUGAGAUUCUUUUUUAAUUAUUAGUCACCUAGCCCACCAACCUUAACUUUGGAGUAUAGCUAAGCAGCCAGAUCAGCAGGGCUGUGCAAAAAUCGAACCGAUCGAUAAAAAUGUUAUUGGGUUAUUGGUAUUGGGUUAUCGGGUUAACUGUUUUUUAUUGGUUUUAUAAAAAAAUUUAUUGGGUAAACGGUUCAGUAUCGGUUGUAGCUUAUUGACCGAUAACCCAAUAAGGAUACACUUAGUUAUUGUUUUAUCCCUAUUUAUGUUAUAUAUUUAAAUAUCUCUCUCUCUUUAUCUAUCUAUAUAGAUUAUAUGCACUACUAAUUCAUAAUUCAGUGAUUCACAAAGUAUUAACCUAUUCAGAGCAACAAAGACACAAUAUAAAGUUCGGCUAUUAUCGUAAUAAAAAGCUUGAAGCAUUUAUAACUUCCAACAAUUAGGAUUCAAUUUUUUUCCUAACUAACAUUCAAUUCAAGUUUGAAGAUUCCAUUGCGUAGGUUUUGGCGGUAAUUAAGAUUUUAUUUUUUUAUGUUAGUUGUUACUAUUGUUAUUUUAUAAGUAUUUUCUUAUUGGUUAAAUUGAAAACCGAACCAUUAAGGACCAAAAACUGAUAAACCGAAACCGAUAAGAAAAUAUCUUAUUGGUUGGUUAUUGGUUUUACAUAUUUAAAAACCGAAAACCGAACCAAUAACACUUAAAACCUAACCGAACCGACCGAAGCCCACCCCUACAGAUCAGUUAGAUCAACUAGUGAGUUUUCACACUGUCGCCAUGUCACCACGCUACACUGAAUUUGAACCUAUACGAAAAAUGCUAUAAGUUGCAAACCAAACGUCGUAUUGGUUUUACACAGGAAUAGCUUAUUUCCUAACUAACUACCAAACAUUGUAUUAACACAAAAGUUACUUCCUGAAUAAGUUGCUUCUUUAGGUGCUACCAAACGACUCCUAAAUGUUUAUUAUUGUUCUUAUGAAUUAAGCAUGUGACAAAAGAAUCUGACAUUCUUUUUUAAUUAUUAAUCACCUUGCCCACCAAC
This 3341-nucleotide long non-coding RNA is filed under the name Capsicum annuum. RNAcentral describes it as "long non-coding RNA (CANN_LNC015142)". Lineage: Eukaryota; Viridiplantae; Streptophyta; Magnoliopsida; Solanales; Solanaceae. The record is from RNAcentral.